AUAAGUAAAGUAAGGGUGUAUGGUGGAUGCCUUGGCUCUCAGAAGCGAUGAAGGACGUGAUAAGCUGCGAUAAGUAACGGUGAGGUGCAAAUAACUUUUGAUCCGUUAAUUUCCGAAUGGGGCAACCUGUCAAGUUGAAGAUUUGACAUUCUUUUAAAGAAAGCUAACCUAGGGAACUGAAACAUCUAAGUACCUAGAGGAAAAGAAAACAAUAGUGAUUCCCAAAGUAGUGGCGAGCGAAAUGGGAAAAGCCCAAACCAAAUUUGUUUAGGCAAAUUUGGGGUUGUAGGACUACAAUAUGAAAUAUGUUUGAAUAGUUGAAUGAGUUGGAAAGCUCAACCGUAGGAGGUUAUAGUCCUGUAAAUUAAAUUUAAAUAUUAUCUAGUAGUAUCCUGAGUAGGGCGGGACAUGUGUAAUCCUGUCUGAAUUUGCCAGAACCAUCUGGUAAGGCUAAAUAUUACUGAGAGACCGAUAGUGAACAAGUACCGUGAGGGAAAGGUGAAAAGUACUCUGAAUAAGAGAAUGAAAUAGAUCCUGAAACCAUACACUUACAAGCGGUCGGAGCCUUCGGGUGACGGCGUGCCUUUUGCAUAAUGAGCCUACGAGUUACUCCUCGUUAGCAAGAUUAAUCUUUUAAGAAGAGUAGUCGAAGCGAAAGCAAGUCUUAAUAGGGCGAUAAAGUUAGCGGGGGUAGACGCGAAACCAGGUGAUCUACCCAUGGUCAGGUUGAAGCUUCGUUAGUCCGAAGUGGAGGACCGAACCAAUAUACGUUGAAAAGUAUUUGGAUGAACUGUGGGUAGGGGUGAAAGGCCAAUCAAACUUGGAAAUAGCUCGUACUCCCCGAAAUGCAUUUAGGUGCAGCGUUGAGAAUUAGUGUUAUAGAGGUAGAGCUACUGAUUGGGCUAGGGGGCUUCACCGCCUACCAAACCCUGACAAACUCCGAAUGCUAUAACAUAUGCUCAGCAGUGAGGGCAUGGGUGCUAAGGUCCAUGUCCGAGAGGGAAAGAACCCAGACUAUCAGUUAAGGUCCCAAAAUAUAUACUAAGUUGUUUUAACGUUGUUUAAUUGCUUUGACAGCUAGGAUGUUGGCUUGGAAGCAGCCAUUCAUUUAAAGAGUGCGUAACAGCUCACUAGUCGAGCGAUUAAGCGUGGAUAAUAAUCGGGCAUAAGUAUAUUACCGAAACUAUAGAUUUAUGGUAGGGGAGCAUUCUAUACACAUUGAAGCAGUAUUGUGAAGUAUUGUGGAGAGUAUAGAAAAGCAAAUGUAGGCAUAAGUAACGAUAAAAUAGGUGAGAAACCUAUUCACCAAUAGACUAAGGUUUCCUCAGCUAUGCUAAUCAGCUGAGGGUUAGUCGGGACCUAAGAUUAAUCCGAAAGGAGAUAUCGAUGGAAAACAGGUUAAUAUUCCUGUACUAAUUAUUAUUGUGAUGGGGUGACGGAGUAGUGAAAGAUUCGCGUACUGACGGAAUAGUACGUUAAAGGGUGUAGGUAUUGAUUUUAUAGGUAAAUCCGUAGAGUUAGCUGAACCUGAUAGUACCACAAUCAAAUUUUGAGCGUGGAUAGUAAUCCUAAUCAGACUUCCAAGAAAAACCUCUAAACUUCAGAUAAUAAUUACUCGUACCCUAAACCGACACAGGUAGUCAAGAAGAGAAUUCUAAGGUGCUCGAGUGAUUCAUGGCUAAGGAACUAGGCAAAAUGGUCUCGUAACUUCGGGAGAAGAGACGCCUCACUUUGUGAGGCCGCAGUGAAUAGGCCCAGGCGACUGUUUAUCAAAAACACAGGACUCUGCAAAAUCGAAAGAUGAAGUAUAGGGUCUGACACCUGCCCGGUGCCGGAAGGUUAAGAGGAGAGCUUAGAUAUUUAUAUCGAAGGUUUGAAUUGAAGCCCCGGUAAACGGCGGCCGUAACUAUAACGGUCCUAAGGUAGCGAAAUUCCUUGUCGGGUAAGUUCCGACCUGCACGAAUGGUGUAAC
This 1972-nucleotide ribosomal RNA is filed under the name oral metagenome. Its description in RNAcentral is "bacterial LSU rRNA". It matches the Rfam family "Bacterial large subunit ribosomal RNA", at positions 1 to 2005 of the family's 2925-position model. The record is from RNAcentral.